Molecule: ribosomal RNA, 1416 nt
Filed under: uncultured organism
Description: bacterial SSU rRNA
Rfam family: Bacterial small subunit ribosomal RNA
Source: RNAcentral
AGUCGUGCGACAGUUUCCUUCGGGGAAAUGGAGGAGCGGCGCAAGGGAGAGUAACGCGUGGAUACCUGCCCCGAGGUCCGGGAUAGCCCAUCGAAAGGUGGGGUAAUACCGGAUAACAUCUCCGGAUCAAAGGUGUGAUUCCGCCUCGGGAUGGGUCCGCGUCCUAUUAGCUUGUUGGUGGGGUAAUGGCCUACCAAGGCAACGAUGGGUAGUGGGCGUUAGCGCGUGGCCCGCCUCACUGGGACUGAGACACUGCCCAGACACCUACGGGUGGCUGCAGUCGAGAAUCUUCGGCAAUGGGCGCAAGCCUGACCGAGCGACGCCGCGUGCGGGAUGAAGGCCUUCGGGUUGUAAACCGCUGUCAGAGGGGAGGAAGGGUCCGUGAAGAGCGGAACUUGACCUAUCCUCAGAGGAAGUGCGGGCUAAGUUCGUGCCAGCAGCCGCGGUAAGACGAACCGCACAAACGUUAUUCGGAAUCACUGGGCUUAAAGGGUGCGUAGGCGGCCGUUCAAGUCGGGUGUGAAAGCCCUCAGCGUAACUGAGGAAUUGCGCCCGAUACUGUUCGGCUUUGAGGGAGACAGAGGUGACCGGAACUUGCGGUGGACCGGUGAAAUGCGUUGAUAUCGCAAGGAACACCAGUAGCGAAAGCGGCUCACUGGGUCUCUUCUGACGCUGAGGCACGAAAGCUAGGGUAGCGAAGAGGAUUAGAUACCCUCGUAGUCCUAGCUGUAAACGCUGAGCACUGGAUUGGAGGGUCCUCCAUAGCCUUCCGGUCGUAGCGAAAGUGUUAAGUGCUCCGCCUGGGGAGUAUGGUCGCAAGGCCGAAACUCAAAGGAAUUGACGGGGGCUCACACAAGCGGUGGAGGAUGUGGCUUAAUUCGAGGCUACGCGAAGAACCUUAUCCUGGAUUUGACAUGCUUGGGAAUCCCCUGGAAACAGGGGAGUGCCCCUCGGGGAGCCCUUGCACAGGUGCUGCAUGGCUGUCGUCAGCUCGUGUCGUGAGAUGUCGGGUUAAGUCCCUUAACGAGCGAAACCCUUGUCGUUAGUUGCCAGCGGGUCAUGCCGGGGACUCUAACGAGACUGCCGGUGUUAAACCGGAGGAAGGUGGGGAUGACGUCAAGUCCUCAUGGCCUUUAUGUCCAGGGCUGCACACGUCCUACAAUGGUGCGUACAAAGGGAAGCAAACUCGCGAGAGUAAGCAAAUCCCAAAAAGCGCGCCCCAGUUCGAAUUGCAGGCUGCAACUCGCCUGCAUGAAGCCGGAAUCGCUAGUAAUCGCGGGUCAGCAUACCGCGGUGAAUGUGUUCCUGAGCCUUGUACACACCGCCCGUCAAGCCACGAAAGUGGGGGGCCGGCGAAGUCGCCGAGCUAACCCGUAAGGGAGGCAAGCGCCGAACCGGAACUCCGCGAUUGGGACU